Long non-coding RNA from Calidris pugnax (ruff), 268 nucleotides. RefSeq lists it as uncharacterized. The transcript has 3 exons. NCBI's taxonomy places the organism in Eukaryota, Metazoa, Chordata, Aves, Charadriiformes, Scolopacidae. The record is from RefSeq and is a predicted model, not a curated record.
AUGCAGCCCUGGAGGAACAAGCUGCACUGUUGGGUGAGUCUCCGUGAGCUCCUCCUGGCUCAAUGUCCUCUCCUGGGCCCCCUGUGCUCUGCCCUUCCCUCCCUUGCCAGAGCAGGGAUGGGCCCUUUUCCAUUCCCACAGCCACUGGGGACCAGUGGUGGGAUGUGACCUGCUCCUCUCUCUCCUUGUAGCUUGGAGAAAGUUUCUGCUUCCUGAAAAUCCAGACGUGGUGACCCUGGAUCCAAACACGGCUCAUUCUGAACUUGUC